Long non-coding RNA from Mustela erminea (ermine), 1622 nucleotides. RefSeq lists it as uncharacterized. NCBI's taxonomy places the organism in Eukaryota, Metazoa, Chordata, Mammalia, Carnivora, Mustelidae. The transcript is spliced from 3 exons. The record is from RefSeq and is a predicted model, not a curated record.
UAUGACCAAUAGUGCUGCAGCAAACAUCUUUAUACACUGAUAUCUAUGUACUUACCCAAGCAUUUUGGGAGAUAAGUUCCUGGAAAUAGAAUUGCUUGGUCAGAUGGUAUUGGCAUUUAGCAUUUUGAUAAAUAUCCCCCAAAUUUCCUCUAGAAUGUUUGCAACAAUUUACACUCCCACGAGGAUGACUAAGUGUGCCUGUUUCCCUACCUGCUCUUACUCUGUAUCCAGGCCCUGACUGGGGAACUAGAGAAUGUGUCUCUUGCUUUAGAAAGACAUGGUGCUAAAGACCUUGCCUCAAGCUCUUACCUUCUUUUAUUUUCUCUCUACUUUUCAUAACUGUGGUUUAAUUCUAGGACAGGAAAAAAGAAAUAUGCCUGUUUGGUUUUCAGGAAGUUCCUCAAAGAUCCAGGAAUUCUGCAAAUUAUGAGCACGUAAAUUACAGAUAAACCGUUCAUUUAGUCCCAAAAGGUAACAGCCCUGAGGCAGGAAGAUGCUUCCUUUCAGACCCUAGAGAUGGAAACAUUCCUUCCCCAUGUUUCCGUGUGAACUGCUCCUUUGCUCACACGUGCAUGAGUCUGUGCAUUGUUCCUGCUUGCAGGCCUGCGUUCACCAACAUUUACUCUAAGUUUGCUCAGUUCUGGGUGCUGUGCUAACCCCUGUGGCUAUGGGAAUGAAAUGCAGUUUCUGCCUUCAAGAAGACCACAAUCUAGCUUCAAGAAAAAACCGAAGAGGAGACCCGCAGGUGUAAUCGAGGGCAGAAGUGCUGCUUUCAUUCACAUCAGUGCAGGGUGCCCCAAGAGUGAUGGACUGGGCUGAGUGCCCACCGGAGGGCAAGGGCUACAGAAAAGACCAGGAAUAUGGUUCUGGGAGGGCCCACGCAACUACCACAUCUAACCCAGUCAGGGAGGAAGUGAGGAAGAAGCUGGGGACUGGGCAUCCCGAAGGGUAAUCUUUGACCCGCAGCUCUGUUAGAGGCAGGAAGGUACAUUUCGUAAAUAUAGUUUUGUUUUACUCUUAGUUUUUUAAUGAAAAUUUUUGAGUGAAAAAAUUCUCAACCUUGUCUUUGCUGAACAAAGAGAAGCUGGAAGAGAUAAGGAGAUUAUGAUGUCAUCUGUCGAAAUUGGCAAGACUCAGUACCUCUGUCCCUGUGGGCCAGCAGCUGAGAUGUCUCACUUUGUUGACCUAUAGGAACCCUGUGGAGAUGGGGUGGGUAUAGAAUGCCAGGAGGGUGAGAGUCAGAGUCCGCUCUAGAAUGAACAGUAACCCAUUUUGUUGUUUUUAUCCUAGUUCAGACCUGUGGACAAAUACAUUUAUAGAUAACUCACAAGAAUCAAAUUUGGAAACAGCCUAAAUGUCCAUACACAGGAGAUAAAUUAAAUAAUACAUGGUGUGUCAGGUGUGACAUCACAAAGCAAACUCCCGGAUGGCACCGACUGAAUCCUUUAUCAGCUUCGUUAGCACUGAUGCCAGAAUGAAACUGGCCCAGCAGCCUCAUCAAAAUUUCCACGCUAACGGGUAGACCCUUGGGAAUGAAGCUAUUCCAGGUGCAGAACGGGGUCCAUUUGACCUAGAAGCUUUGGCAGAGGGAGCAGACACAGUAUUCACUAUGUUGAUUCGAU